UUUAAAUUGUAUUAUAAAAAUUAUAAGAAGUUAAUAAAUUUAAUUAUAGUUUUAAAGUUAGUUUAAAAAUUUAUGUAUAUAUAAAUAUUAAAAGAAUUAAAUAUAAAAUUAAGUAGUAUAUAGAUUUAAUAAGAUUAAAAAUAUUUAAUUUUAGAAAUUUUUAUAAUUUAGAUAAAUAAUUGUGCCAGCAAUCGUGGUUAGACAAUUUAGAUAAAUUAAUUAGAUUAAAUUAAAAUUAAAUGAAUUUUUAUAAUUAAAAUUUAAAUUGUUAGGUGAAAUUAAUUAAUUUAAAAUUAUUAUAAUUAAAUAAUUAAUUGAAUUUUUAAAGAAUUUUUAAAAAACUAGGAUUAGAUACCCUAUUAUAUAAUUUAAAAUUUAUAAUUUUAAUAUUAAAUGAUUAAUCAUUAAAUUUAAAUAAUUUGGCGGUAUUUUAAUUUUAUUAGAGGAAUUUGUUAAUUAAUUGAUAAUACUCAAUAAGUUAGACUUUAAUUUAAUUUUUAUAUUGUUGUUUAAAGAAUAUUUUUGAAAAAAUUAUUUAAAAUUUUAUUUUUUAAAAUUAAUUCAGAUCAAAAUGGAGUGAAUAUUAAAGAAUUAAUGAAUUACAAUAAAUUUUAUUUAAAUGAAUUUAUAAUUUUAAAAUUAUAAUGAAGGUGGAUUUAAAAGUAAAAUAAAAUAAUUAUUUUAUUUGAUUAAAAUUUUAAAAUAUGUACAAAUUGCCCGUCGUUCUCUUUGAAAAAGGAGGUAAGUCGUAACAAAGUAAAAGUACUGGAAGGUGUUUUUAGAUA
Molecule: non-coding RNA, 785 nt
Filed under: Chrysis sickmanni
Lineage: Eukaryota; Metazoa; Arthropoda; Insecta; Hymenoptera; Chrysididae
Source: RNAcentral